This 462-nucleotide ribosomal RNA is filed under the name uncultured Bacteroidales bacterium. RNAcentral describes it as "bacterial SSU rRNA". It matches the Rfam family "Bacterial small subunit ribosomal RNA", at positions 337 to 796 of the family's 1533-position model. The record is from RNAcentral. Lineage: Bacteria; Pseudomonadati; Bacteroidota; Bacteroidia; Bacteroidales.
GCCUACGGGAGGCUGCAGUGAGGAAUAUUGGUCAAUGGGCGAGAGCCUGAACCAGCCAUGCCGCGUGCAGGAAGACGGCCCUACGGGUUGUAAACUGCUUUUGUGUGGGAAGAAAAAGCCUUACGUGUAGGGCACUGACGGUACCAUAUGAAUAAGCAUCGGCUAACUCCGUGCCAGCAGCCGCGGUAAUACGGAGGAUGCGAGCGUUAUCCGGAUUUAUUAGGUUUAAAGGGUGUGUAGGCGGAAGCUUAAGUCAGUGGUGAAAUCCCCCGGCUCAACCGGGGAACUGCCAUAGAUACUGGGUUUCUUGAGUACAGUUGAAGUAGGCGGAAUGUGUAAUGUAGCGGUGAAAUGCAUAGAUAUUACACAGAACACCGAUUGCGAAGGCAGCUUGCUAAGCUGUUACUGACGCUGAUGCACGAAAGCGUGGGGAGCGAACAGGAUUAGAUACCCUUGUAGUCC